Molecule: ribosomal RNA, 465 nt
Filed under: Vreelandella stevensii
Lineage: Bacteria; Pseudomonadati; Pseudomonadota; Gammaproteobacteria; Oceanospirillales; Halomonadaceae
Description: partial 16S ribosomal RNA
Rfam family: Bacterial small subunit ribosomal RNA
Source: RNAcentral
CCUACGGGGGGCUGCAGUGGGGAAUAUUGGACAAUGGGGGCAACCCUGAUCCAGCCAUGCCGCGUGUGUGAAGAAGGCCCUCGGGUUGUAAAGCACUUUCAGUGAGGAAGAACGCCUGGUGGUUAAUACCCAUCAGGAAAGACAUCACUCACAGAAGAAGCACCGGCUAACUCCGUGCCAGCAGCCGCGGUAAUACGGAGGGUGCGAGCGUUAAUCGGAAUUACUGGGCGUAAAGCGCGCGUAGGUGGCUUGAUAAGCCGGUUGUGAAAGCCCCGGGCUCAACCUGGGAACGGCAUCCGGAACUGUCAAGCUAGAGUGCAGGAGAGGAAGGUAGAAUUCCCGGUGUAGCGGUGGAAUGCGUAGAGAUCGGGAGGAAUACCAGUGGCGAAGGCGGCCUUCUGGACUGACACUGACACUGAGGUGCGAAAGCGUGGGUAGCAAACAGGAUUAGAUACCCCUGUAGUC